This 255-nucleotide ribosomal RNA is filed under the name uncultured bacterium. Its description in RNAcentral is "partial 16S ribosomal RNA". The record is from RNAcentral.
CUGCUGCCUCCCGUAGGAGUUUGGGCCGUGUCUCAGUCCCAAUGUGGCCGUUCACCCUCUCAGGCCGGCUACUGAUCGUCGCUUUGGUAGGCCGUUACCCUGCCAACUGGCUAAUCAGACGCGGGUCCAUCUCAUACCACCGGAGUUUUUACCACUGCACCAUGCAGUGCUGUGGUCUUAUGCGGUAUUAGCAGUCAUUUCUAACUGUUAUCCCCCUGUAUGAGGCAGGUUACCCACGCGUUACUCACCCGUCCG